AAUAAUCUGGAAAAAACAAAAAUGGAUCUCCUCUGCCGUCUCUCAGUGCUAACUAGGAACAACCAAUCAGAGGCAGGAGGUGGGGCCUAGCGCUGUCAAU
Poecilia latipinna (sailfin molly) is the source of this 100-nucleotide long non-coding RNA. RefSeq lists it as uncharacterized. The transcript is spliced from 3 exons. The record is from RefSeq and is a predicted model, not a curated record. NCBI's taxonomy places the organism in Eukaryota, Metazoa, Chordata, Actinopteri, Cyprinodontiformes, Poeciliidae.